Molecule: small nucleolar RNA, 84 nt
Organism: Amblyraja radiata (thorny skate)
Lineage: Eukaryota; Metazoa; Chordata; Chondrichthyes; Rajiformes; Rajidae
Product: small nucleolar RNA SNORD100
Exons: 1
Source: RefSeq, a predicted model, not a curated record
UUUAUCAAUGAUGAUCAAUUGGCUCCCUCUACUGAAUCGAAUGAAGAAAAUUGCCUGAAUUGUUGCCCAAACGUCGGAGAUACA